Molecule: ribosomal RNA, 484 nt
Filed under: uncultured bacterium
Lineage: Bacteria
Description: partial 16S ribosomal RNA
Rfam family: Bacterial small subunit ribosomal RNA
Source: RNAcentral
GACGAACGCUGGCGGCGUGCUUAACACAUGCAAGUCGAACGAUGAAGCCGGAGCUUGCUCUGGUGAAUUAGUGGCGAACGGGUGAGUAACACGUGAGUAACCUGCCCUUGACUCUGGGAUAACUGCGGGAAACUGUAGCUAAUACCGGAUACGACCAUCGGAGGCAUCUCCUGGGGGUGGAAAGAAUUUCGGUCAAGGAUGGACUCGCGGCCUAUCAGCUAGUUGGUGAGGUAAAGGCUCACCAAGGCGACGACGGGUAGCAGGCCUGAGAGGGUGACCGGCCACACUGGGACUGAGACACGGCCCAGACUCCUACGGGAGGCAGCAGUGGGGAAUAUUGCACAAUGGGCGCAAGCCUGAUGCAGCAACGCCGCGUGAGGGAUGACGGCCUUCGGGUUGUAAACCCCUUUUAGCAGGGAAGAAGCGAAAGUGACGGUACCUGCAGAAAAAGCACCGGCUAACUACGUGCCAGCAGCCGCCGUAA